RNAcentral lists this ribosomal RNA (125 nucleotides) under uncultured Clostridium sp. RNAcentral's name for it is "partial 16S ribosomal RNA". It matches the Rfam family "Bacterial small subunit ribosomal RNA", at positions 355 to 494 of the family's 1533-position model. Lineage: Bacteria; Bacillati; Bacillota; Clostridia; Eubacteriales; Clostridiaceae. The record is from RNAcentral.
UGGGGGAUAUUGCACAAUGGAGGAAACUCUGAUGCAGCGACGCCGCGUGAGGGAAGAAGGUCUUCGGAUUGUAAACCUCUGUCUUUCGGGACGAAGGAAGUGACGGUACCGAAAGAGGAAGCCAC